AUCUGCCUGGCUCCCUGGAUGCCAUCUAAGAACAGAAGGUCAAUAGUAUCUGUUUGGCUCUUUUUUAGAUGGCAUCAGUGGAUACAGGCAGGC
This 93-nucleotide microRNA precursor is filed under the name Daucus carota subsp. sativus. Its description in RNAcentral is "sRNA DCAR_mi00116". Lineage: Eukaryota; Viridiplantae; Streptophyta; Magnoliopsida; Apiales; Apiaceae. The record is from RNAcentral.